AACGUAGGUGGCGAGCGUUAUCCGGAUUUACUGGGCGUAAAGGGUGUGCAGGCGGGCUGUUAAGUGGUGUAUGAAAUAUCCCGGCUCAACCGGGAGAGGUUAUGCCAGACUGGCAGUCUAGAGAGCGAGAGAGGGACGUGGAAUUCCGGGUGUAGUGGUGGAAUGCGCAGAUAUCAGGAGGAACACCGAUGGCGAAGGCAGCUCGCUGGGACGGUACUGACGCUGAGGCGCGAAAGCGUGGGGAGCGAACAGG
RNAcentral lists this ribosomal RNA (253 nucleotides) under uncultured bacterium. RNAcentral's name for it is "partial 16S ribosomal RNA". It matches the Rfam family "Bacterial small subunit ribosomal RNA", at positions 524 to 776 of the family's 1533-position model. The record is from RNAcentral.